Small nucleolar RNA from Acomys russatus (golden spiny mouse), 88 nucleotides. RefSeq annotates it as small nucleolar RNA U83B. The record is from RefSeq and is a predicted model, not a curated record. The transcript has a single exon. Lineage: Eukaryota; Metazoa; Chordata; Mammalia; Rodentia; Muridae.
GAGGUUCAAAAAGAGGUCUUACUGCCUGGGAACAGCACCCGAGCAAAACUGAGGAACCAUUCCUUCUUGUCUUUCUUUUGAGAACAGC